AGAUGAAAUCCUUCCCUUGAGUGUGGCGUGCUGAGAUCUCCACCUGGAGGCAUCCCCAGCUGGUAGAUCAGUCCUGGGAAGCGGAGGAGACCAAGAGAGGGGCCUUGCCUGGGACAGACGUGGGCCAAGCCGGGGCUGGAAUCUGGGACUCCAGGCGGAGGCCCCUUUCCUUUGUUUCAGCUGAGCCCAGCACCUCUGAGUGUCUGCGUCUGAGCGGAGAUUGUGAAGCGUCUGAGCGGUAUCUGCGCUCAGAUUAUCCCCUUCCUGACCCAGGAGCAUCAGCAGCAGGUGCUCCAGGCCGUAGAACGCGCCAAGCAGGUCACCGUGGGGGAGCUGAACAGCCUCAUCGGGGUGAGUCUCUCUAGCCCCUGCCCCACCAUGGGGAGACGCCCACUCCCAGGUCCCUGGCACCCACCCAGGAGGUGUUAAAGCUGGGGUGGUGUGUGGGCCUUGGCUCCGGUGGUCCUGGGAACCCCAGGGGCACAUGCUGUGCUUAGGUCCCAUCCCCUGUGUCUACCUCUUGGGCUGGGGACCGCUGGGCUCCUGCCGCCCCCCGCCCCGGCCCAUCCUGCCUCCUUUCUAGCAGCAGCAGCUCCAGCCGCUGUCCCACCACGCACCC
This 619-nucleotide small RNA is filed under the name Pan troglodytes (chimpanzee). RNAcentral's name for it is "retained intron". Lineage: Eukaryota; Metazoa; Chordata; Mammalia; Primates; Hominidae. The record is from RNAcentral.